GGGUGAGUAACACGUGGGCAACCUGCCUGUAAGACUGGGAUAACUUCGGGAAACCGAAGCUAAUACCGGAUAGGAUCUUCUCCUUCAUGGGAGAUGAUUGAAAGAUGGUUUCGGCUAUCACUUACAGAUGGGCCCGCGGUGCAUUAGCUAGUUGGUGAGGUAACGGCUCACCAAGGCAACGAUGCAUAGCCGACCUGAGAGGGUGAUCGGCCACACUGGGACUGAGACACGGCCCAGACUCCUACGGGAGGCAGCAGUAGGGAAUCUUCCGCAAUGGACGAAAGUCUGACGGAGCAACGCCGCGUGAGUGAUGAAGGCUUUCGGGUCGUAAAACUCUGUUGUUAGGGAAGAACAAGUACGAGAGUAACUGCUUGUACCUUGACGGUACCUAACCAGAAAGCCACGGCUAACUACGUGCCAGCAGCCGCGGUAAUACGUAGGUGGCAAGCGUUAUCCGGAAUUAUUGGGCGUAGAGCGCGCGCACGCGGUUUCUUAACUCUGAUGUGAACGCCCACAGCUCAACCGUGGAGGGUCAUUGGAAACUGGGGCACUUGCGAGCCGAAUAGACAGGCGCAAUUCCACGCGUAGCCGCGAAGUGCGCA
This 602-nucleotide ribosomal RNA is filed under the name Priestia megaterium. RNAcentral describes it as "bacterial SSU rRNA". It matches the Rfam family "Bacterial small subunit ribosomal RNA", at positions 104 to 692 of the family's 1533-position model. Lineage: Bacteria; Bacillati; Bacillota; Bacilli; Caryophanales; Bacillaceae. The record is from RNAcentral.